UACAAUGAUGAGAGGACUGAUGGAUGGACAAUGAAUAACUAAUCUAUAUUUUUAUUUGAAAUGAAUAACUUCAAACUACAAAAUAUAGGAUUAGUCUAUCCAUUUGUAUAAAUCAUUUUAUACUUGAAUAUCCAUGGUUCUAAUGGUGAGCAACCCACCCUUGAUUUGAUCCAAAGUGAGAGACUAAUCCUUCCAAUGAUGAAUUGGGAGGAUUUUUUU
RNAcentral lists this small RNA (219 nucleotides) under uncultured Paenibacillus sp. RNAcentral describes it as "Bacillus sRNA ncr1575". It matches the Rfam family "Bacillus sRNA ncr1575". Lineage: Bacteria; Bacillati; Bacillota; Bacilli; Caryophanales; Paenibacillaceae. The record is from RNAcentral.